AGCCCUCGUGAGUGGCAUUAGGCUUGACUGACUUACAAAAAAUCUUAACCAACUGUGUUCAGCCCUUUUCCCUUUCUGCCCUCUGCCAUGUGAGGUCACAGUGUUCCUCCCUCCUGAGGAUGCAGUGUUCAUGAAAGCAAACACUGGGCCCUCACCAGGCAACAAACCUGCUGGUGCCUUCAUCUUGGACUUCCCAGCCUUCGGAACUAUGGAGCCCGCACUCUCCAGUUCAUCACCACCCCAGCAUCCCUACUCUUGCAUCUAACAGUUUCCGCUAUUUUGCACCACCUGCCUGGCCCUUAUGGGCAACUCAAGGAAGAAAGGAAAGAAGAGAUAGAGGAAAAAUGGAUUCAACAAAUGAAAGUGUUCUUUCUGACUACUGCUGUGUUUACAAACAUUUUAAUCAUCAAAACAUGCUUUAUUUGAUAGAAAGAUCAAAUCUGCCUUUGUAAAACAAGAGACUAUUUUAAUCAUUAAGACAACACACAUGUUUGAUUUGGAGGCGUGUUCUCAUUCAAAACCUUGCAAAAUAUAAUUUCUUCUUGUCUGGGAGAUGGUGUCUUUCUUCGGGGAGAACCUUGAGAGAAAUGUCUAUGAAUGUGUCUGUAGAUUGAGGAUAGGCCAACAAACAUAUUUUGAAAUAUUUUUUCUUUCUUUUAAAAAAAUAGAUACUUUUAAAAGAAAAUGCUUAUUUAAAUUACAUAGCUCUUUUUUUCACUCUCAGUCAUCAUUUGUGGUUUCAGUCAGUACUACAUUUAUUCCCCAGAGCUAGGAUUGCUGUGUUUUUAGAAAGGGAGCCUGUUUGAAGGGACUCUAUACUCUUGCAGUAAUUAAAAUCCUUUUAGGAGUCUUUGACUUUGACUUACUGCUUUGUUUUAAAUUAUUGAAAUUAUUCAACUUCCCCAUUCUAACCCACGGAAGGCUGUUGUUGUUCUCAUUUAUAAUGGCACAAUAUAAGUUUAAAGAUAGCUGUCUCCACAUGAAUGCAUCUGCAAAUCCAUCUCUCUUCUCUCUUCUGCCAUCCAGGUUAAGAAGCUCCACUGCGCUUUGUCCAUUGCAAGUUGAGAAGUGAGGCCCCAGCUGUCACAUACAGUGAGUGAAGAAGCUGAGCUUCCCUCAACGCCUGGGCCUGCUCCAUCACAAGAGGGAGCCCCAUUGCUAGUCCCCAUCCUCAAAGCCUCUGCGUGAUGUUGUCUACUGUUACUCUUCACUACCCUGUGGGAGCCAAAGCCCUGGACAUAAGAACAGAAGGCAAGCAGUGGUGGCUGAGAGGAAGAACUGACACCUUUGUGCUAUCAGAGCACUUUGCAGAGGAGCUGUUAGUGGCCCUGUAGGAGUCUGCUGGCCAUACAUCUGGGUGUCAAAUCAAGAGAGCAUGAGAAGUUGGACAGGAAAGGUCCAAGGCAAAAUGGUUACUAAAGGCCAUCCCUGAUCCUGACCCUAAAAGAAGAAAAGGCCCUUUGCUCUUGGCAUGCUUUUGCAGGAGUGUCUCAGUCUGUUUGGGCUGCUAUAACAUUGACUGGGUGAUCUGCCUGCCUGGCCUCCCAAAGUGCUGGGGUUACAGGUGUGAGCCGCUGCACCAGGCCUUGAGGUCAGGAGUUCGAGACCAGCCUGGCCAACAUGGUGAAACCUGUCUUUACUAAAAAUACAGAAAUUAGCCAGGCAUGGAGGCGCAUGCCUGUAAUCCCAGCUACUGGGGAGGCUGAGGCAGGAGAAUCGCUUGAACCCAGAAGGUGGAGGUUGCGGUGAGCCCAGAUAGUGCCAUUGCACUCUAGCCUGGCCAACAAGAGUGAAACUCUGUCUCAAAAAAUAAAUAAACAAACAAACAAACAACAAC
Molecule: long non-coding RNA, 1837 nt
Filed under: Homo sapiens (human)
Lineage: Eukaryota; Metazoa; Chordata; Mammalia; Primates; Hominidae
Description: HSALNT0046422
Source: RNAcentral